AGUCCCGAAACAAAUCGGGACUAUAUAUGCUACUCAAACUGGCUGGUCGUUUGUUCAAUCGGUUCGUUUGCCAGAGACGCGACCCAGUAUUUUUGUUCUGUAUCUAUGGACGAGACCCAGUCGUUCGUUCUAAAUGUUCCAUUGCCAUACUAGCUGGCAAAGUUAUUAUCCUUUGCCUUCUAGCUAGCCAACUACGGAAUAACAGCAAAGUAGCUACAUUUGCAUUUGUUUACGCUGUUUUGUGGAGACAUCCAUAACAAUGAGUUAAUGAGGCGCGAUUUCGUCUCAGAAAAUGUGCUCAUUUGUCAGGACACCGUUAUUUAGAGCAACUGAAGCUGGAAAGACUGCAAACUAGCUGCACUUCGUUUCGUUUGACCUUUUUUCAAUUUACAUUUCUUUGUAUAUAUAUCCAUAAAAAUGAAGCCCGCUGUUUCAUGAUUUCGACCGGCUGAGAAACGCUGCCUGCCUGCCUGUCUUCUCCCAACUCGUCCAUUACAAUGGGACGGCUGGAGAUCGAAUUUGAAUAUUGAAACAAUUUGGCAAAUGUCGGCGAGACAGACCGCAAGGUUUAUACAAAUCAUACUGUUUAAAACUAAAUGUUAGAUAAUGUCUAGAUGCUUUUUAUAGUGGAGAUCAAGUUUAUAAAUUGCUUGGCUGGGCUGAUGAGCCAGUGGAUUGUGCAGUCAGAUGGAACAGAGUAAAUAGGCAUUUUUAACUUCAUAGAUUAGCCAGUGGUAAAUUGUGGAAUAGACACCAUCUGAAAUACGGAUUUAACCAAUCUGCAUUCAGGAUUAAACCCACCCGUAGCUAGAGAAUAGUUGGAAAUUAACGAUACAUGACUGUAAUCCAUUUAUUUUCCCUAGAUUACUACUCCUGCUGCAAAGUUUCAGUGCAUAUGCAGAGCAGUUGAAGUUUGGACAGAAAGAAAACAUGAAGCAAACAGCUCCAUGUGUAUCAAUUGGCCUUGUAGUUGUUCACUAUUGGAAUAACGUUAUCCAGAUUGGCAACCAGAGUGAGUUUUUAAAGCACUCCUGGUGUUUAGUUUUUUUUUCUUCCCAUAAAAUGUAUAUUUUAUGACCAUGUUGUUCCCUCUUAUUCAGAGCAUGAAGCAAGAUAGUCAAGAAUUGAUCAAAACUCCAAAGUGUGAGGAAAACACCACUUUCUCUUUAGCAUCCUCACUCCUGACCACAAAAAGGGAUAUUUGUCCACAGUCUCCAUCUGUAGUGUCUCAGCACUGUACUUCAAGAACAACAGCAAGCACUCCAUUCCUCCACAGACGAUAGCAAAUGGCAGCCCCUCCUGUCCUACUCGCAGAACAGCAAGCAUCAUCCCCUCCUGCCUUUCCCCUAUAUCCACAGACACUCAUAAUGUAAGUUGCCAGACAGUAGAGUCCUCCCUUGUCCCCUGUGAUGCCUGUGCUCAGGUCCUGUCCAGCCUGAGGGAGACUGGUGAUGCUCUUGUGGAGCUGUGUCGGAGCGAGGGCCUUCCCACCUCUCUGCAGCGCCUCCUGGUGGCUGUGGAUGACACUAUGUAGCAGGGCCGUCUCACUGUAGGAGAUGUGUCCCAGUGGUCCACAGAGCAGCACAGGGACAUGGGUCAGGUGGGAAAGCAUCUGCUGAAGGUGCAGUCCACAGUGCAGGGCUCAGCUGGGGGAGGGAACAGGAGGAACUAAAGCGUGAAUGGGCAAAGGAUCAAGCAAGACUGUAGGAGGCCCAGGCAUCCAGGAAGGAGACAGAGAGGAGACUGCAGGACGAACAUGAGGAGCUGAGGCUCCAUGUCCCUGGAGGAUAGCAACUCCAAACUGAAGACAGAGAUUAGUUUGCAACAAAAAAGGUUACACAAACUCGAGUGUGAGAGAGAUAAGCUACAUCAGGAAGUGAAGGCCUUGCAGGUAGAGGAAGAGGCACGGAAUAAACAAGAGGAGAAGACACAAACACUGGAGGCUCAACUGUCCAGUACUCAGCUCUUACUUGACAAAGAGAACUCCAAGUACCAGAAUGCAUGUCACCAACAGGAGUCACUGCAGGCCAAGCAGAUGUCUCUAUUGGAGAGAGUGGAUGCUCUGGACCAGGAGUGUGAGGAGCUUCAAGGACAGUUGGGGGAGACUGAGGACACACAGACAGGCCUUCAGGAUAGACUGACACACAUCUCAGAGGAGAAGGACCAACUUAAAACCCAGCUCACCCAAGAACAGUCCCUGAGGCCUUGUGUUCUGAGCUGCAGCAGGAGAAGCAGAGAUUGGAGAGUCAUGUGAGCAAGCCGAAAGACAGUUUGGAUCAGCUGAGAGGAGAGGUGCAGGAGUUAGCACAGAGGGAGAGGCUGCUGGUGGCAUUCCCAGAGCUCAACCCACUGCCUCAGGGACCGCCACAGAACAACCUCUCUCAGCAGCUUUGGAUUCUCCCAGUGUGCCUGACGCUCCCAGAGAGAGACAGCUAAAUCCCACCCCCUACGUACAACACAGCCCUCUACAGACUUCCAGUGCAGGAGUGUUGAAACAUUGAUUGCGGAGGAAGGGAGCAGACAAAGGCGAUUCCAUCCCUGUGGUGAUGGGGCCUUGGGAUCACGUGUCUGCCACCUUCCUGUUCCCAAGAAAGCUAAGGUAACUGAGCUAAACGACUACCGCCCCGUAGCACUCACAUCCGUCAUCAUGAAGUGCUUUGAGAGACUAGUC
Molecule: long non-coding RNA, 2671 nt
Organism: Oncorhynchus kisutch (coho salmon)
Lineage: Eukaryota; Metazoa; Chordata; Actinopteri; Salmoniformes; Salmonidae
Exons: 7
Source: RefSeq, a predicted model, not a curated record